UGACCAGUCCGCCAGCCGAUGACU
Molecule: non-coding RNA, 24 nt
Filed under: Arabidopsis thaliana (thale cress)
Lineage: Eukaryota; Viridiplantae; Streptophyta; Magnoliopsida; Brassicales; Brassicaceae
Source: RNAcentral